This 170-nucleotide ribosomal RNA is filed under the name uncultured bacterium. Its description in RNAcentral is "partial 16S ribosomal RNA". It matches the Rfam family "Bacterial small subunit ribosomal RNA", at positions 335 to 524 of the family's 1533-position model. The record is from RNAcentral.
ACUCCUACGGGAGGCAGCAUUCGGGAAUUUUGGGCAAUGGGCGAGCCUGACCCAGCAACGCUGCGUGAAGGAUGAAGUAUUUCGGUAUGUAAACUUCGAAAGAAUAGGAAGAAUUAAUGACGGUACUAUUUAUAAGGUCCGGCUAACUACGUGCCAGCAGCCGCGGUAAU